CUCACGCCGCACGUCUCUCUCUCCUCUCAUUUCUCAACUAAUUUGAAUUUCCCCGUCAUGCCUCACUUCUCUCUCCUCUCUCCCUUUUCCCUUAUCGUCCUCCUUCCUUUCUCAUCUCCUUUCCUCUCUCCUCUUAUCACCGACAAUGAGCACCACCGAGCAGCCCACACCGACCACUGACGCCGAGCACCAUCGAGCAGCCCUUCCUCUCUCCUCUUAUGAUUGCGGUGGUGGACAGCAGGGUGGUGGCGGCAGAACAGCACGGCGGUGGUGGCAGAUUAGCACGGCGGUGGUGGCAAAAUACCACAGCGGACAAUGUAACUCAAGUAAAAGAUUAUGGAGCUGCAACACGCCUCAGAGAAAACAUUUGCGACGCCUUGAUAUUCUGAUCCUACACUCGAUUUAGACAAAGUAUGCUGACGCUUGGAUGACCAAGACACGAGGUUGUCCCAAGGAAACAACAAUAGCCCAAUGUAGAUCGUCGGGUAUCGGGACAACCUCCCCAGUCACAGUCAAAGUCAGUGUAAGUAAUCAAUCGAUGAGAAACAGUCGGAUAUAAAUGUAACAUAACGCUGAAUGCGUUUCAAUGCCUCAUAAUGAGGUUCCCGUGGAUCAUGCAUAAAUAGACACACCUUUUGUACC
Long non-coding RNA from Chenopodium quinoa (quinoa), 642 nucleotides. RefSeq lists it as uncharacterized. The transcript is spliced from 2 exons. The record is from RefSeq and is a predicted model, not a curated record. NCBI's taxonomy places the organism in Eukaryota, Viridiplantae, Streptophyta, Magnoliopsida, Caryophyllales, Amaranthaceae.